Molecule: long non-coding RNA, 3253 nt
Organism: Equus quagga
Lineage: Eukaryota; Metazoa; Chordata; Mammalia; Perissodactyla; Equidae
Exons: 5
Source: RefSeq, a predicted model, not a curated record
GCAGCAGGAGACGGCGCGGGAUGGAGGUGGUGGUGCAGAAGGAAGAUGCAGAGGGCAGGACGCGGCGCCUCCGGGGGCGUCCUCUCCUUGGACCGAGAAACUUCAACGUGGCGACCCCCUCCUCCACGAUCUGCGUCGCAGCCCUAGUGGCUUCUGCCCAGAUCCGCAAGGACUCAGAUGCGCAGAGGGCUCCUGCCACCCUCCCGCGGCCCUGUGGGGCCAGUGGUCAGCACUCCCCAACCCCAGCUUUCGGGUCACAUCCCGCUCUUAUCUUGGGAGCAGGGAACGUGUAGGAUUAAAAAUCCCCUGCUGUUUAUUAUAGAAAGAUCUAUAGUUACGUUUUUAAACGGGAAAAUCAAGAUGCAAAACUAGUUGAUAUGUAUGCGUACAUACACAUCACACCAGAAACUGCUAACUGGGAUCCUCGGGGAAGGGACUGGGACAUGGGGAUAGGAGAAAAAUUAUUUUAACUCCAUGUUCUUUCUGUACUGUUUAUUUUCUUAAUGUGCAUGUAUUGUCACGGAAACAAGCAAACAAAAAAAAUGAGUACCCCGCGGAGGCCCUGAGAGAGUCUGAGCCCCCAGAUGGCAGGAUUCUGUCACCUUCCCAGCAAUUACAAGGUAAGAAGGACAGAUGGACAGUCAGGGGCCGUCCACCCCCCUAACCUCACCACCACGCCGGCAGCGCUGGCGGUCCCCUCGGCCCACUCCUCACCCCAGGGCUCCGGGUUCUGUGCUCAGCCCGAGCUGGCUCAGUUGAAUAUCAGAAGGGCGGCUUGACCUUUUCAUGUGUCACCAUCGGCCCUGGUUACUAGAAAACCCCCCGAGAAUCCUGAUCCCAAAUGCUUUGAAACAAACAAACAAGAAAAGUACAGAUUGAUCGAAUGAGAAGAAGCGAUAGAGAAAUCCAGAAGGACUGCACACCCAUUUCUUUUUUCCCCAAGACUGAUCCUAAUAGAGGAACAGGAGCCAAGCCUGGGGCUGGGAGAGCGUUUUGAAGAGCUCGCUUCAGCAGCGCGGGCCUCUCCCAGCUCUGUGGGGCUGGGGUCCUGGACCAGGCUGGGAGAGGAAGAAUCAGGGGUGUUCUCAGUCCCUCCUGCUUGGUGAUGUCAGAGGGAGAAGGACACAAGGGACCCCUGGUGGCAGCCGUCCCUUGUCGUUCCAAGGACACUUGUUGUCCACUCUGGUGGGAGCCCACAGAGGAGCAGGCUGGGGUGGGGCACUGACUUGAUGCUGGGUCACCUGAGGGUGGGGUCACAUGCUCUGGCCACUUUUCACUGCCCUCCCAUCAUGCUCAAACUCAGCCCCAGAUGGACCUUUCACUUCUUAUACAGGACUGCUGCUGGGCCCUUGUGACUAAAACUUGGCAGUUCUGACGGAAUCCAGCCAUUGGGACUUUCCCGACGUGGCUCUUAUUUCCCUGUGAUUAAGAGUUUUAUCUCACCCAGGGCACAGCGAGAGCUGUUUCUUAUUUAAAAAGGUAGAGUGUGCUGCUUGGGGUGGCCCAGACUUGCUCUCGGAUUCCAAGAGCCUGUCCUGUGACUCUCCCACUGGGACUUCCAUCAGCUUCACGCCGUCCCUUUCUCCCCAUGGACACCUCAACACCGUGGAGUCUGCCUGAUGGUUUGGCCCAAACAUUACGUUUGAUUGCGCCAACCCCUGGACUGACUGCAGUGCCCUUUACCCACCCAAAUCCAGCAGCCUUGCAGUCACGUGGUGGAUGGGCUGGAGUAAUACUCCUGGGAGUGAAAGGUGUUCCCUCUGGACCUCAAAGAGGCCCACCAGGCACUGUGCUUCCCUCACUGUGGUAUGGGAUGAGGUGGCUUGCUGUUCACGUCAGAGAGGAUACCCUGCAAGGCUGUGACCACUGAAGUUCGAGUCCCCGAAGCUUCCUGCCCGCCGGAGCACCUGUCCUUCCAAUGCCUCUAGUGCACUAGCCACCUGGUUACUUGUUCUGUCCGAUCAGCCUGGUGUCAUUGAUGGAGUGGAUCCAUGGCAUCUUCAGUGAGAUGUCCAGGCAGGCCAUGUCUGGGGGCUGUAUUUUCACAGCGAGAAGGAGUGUUAAUCUAGUCCGGAAGGAGCUCUAAACCCCUUUUCAUUAUAAUUUUACCUGCUUCAAAGGCAACAACAAAAUAAAGUAAUUGCUUUGUCAGAGCCCAGACCACAGCAGAGUCGGCCCUCCGUGAGAAUCUCCUCAGAGAGGCUGAAGCAGUUCUGGGGGGGAGGGAGGACCAAGUGUCGGAUGGGGGCCUGCGACACCCAAGCCGAGACCACCGGAGCUGUUUCUCUGAGGCCCCUUCUGAUCAUCCUGUGUAAGAUCAUGGUCUGUCCUGUGAACGGAGUGGAGUUUCUGACAAACAGAAAUAUGUAUCUUCCCGUGACAUCUACGAUUAAGUUUCGACCAAUGGUGAUGUCAUUGGCCCAGCCUGAGUCAUGUGACCAUUUCUGAACCAAUCACUGUAACCAAUGGAAUGGGUUAUGCUAAUUGGCCUGGCCAGGUCGCAUGCCAACCCCUGGAACUACUGAUGGCAUCAAGACUUCUUGGAACCACAUGGACUAAACAUGAAGACUGGGCGCUGAUCUCGCAGGUUCAAAGCUGAAGUGGAAAUUCAGUCUUUGUUGGAUACUGCAAACCCCAGCCUGCAGGCUUUGUUCCCAGCAGUCUCCUGACUCUCCUGGGUGGUGGCGGAUGGGGCCUGAUAAUGAUGUUAAAGCUGAGGAGUAUUGAAGACCACCAGAUCAAGUGAAAGUUACAAGAACAUCAUCCGAUUUCCUACUGAAAUGAUACUCAGCAUGUCAAUAUGCUCCUCGGCUUCUCUCUCUCUCUUUUUUUCCAAUUUUUUUUUAUUGUAGUAAAAUACACAAAACACAAAAUCUAUCAUCUUGAACAUUCUAAGUGUACAAUUCAGUGGUAUUAAAUAUAUUUUUAAUAUUGUGCAAUCACCACCGCCUUCCAUCUCCAUAGCUAUUUUCAUUUUGUAAAACUGAAGCUCUGUAUCUGUUAGACAAUAACUCCCUCCUCCCUCCAGCCCCCCGCAAUGAGCUUUCUAAGUACCUCAUACAAGUGCAAUCAUACAGUGUUUGUCUUUUUGUGAUUAGCUUAUGUCACUCAGUAGAAUGGCUGCAAGAUUUACACACAUUAUGGUACAUGUCAGAAUUUCUUUCUUUUAUAAGGAUGAAUAGUAUUCCACUGUAUGUAUAUACCACAUUUUGCUUAUCCAUUCAUCCAUCAGUGGACACUGGACACUUGGGUU